Molecule: non-coding RNA, 158 nt
Organism: Chelonoidis abingdonii (Abingdon island giant tortoise)
Lineage: Eukaryota; Metazoa; Chordata; Testudines; Testudinidae
Source: RefSeq, a predicted model, not a curated record
CCCCCAGGCAGACCUCAUCACCCACCAAGGAGGUGUCUAAAGGCACAGAGGACUGGCUGUUCCCUGGAGACGUCCUCCCCACCCCCACAGGUCCCUGCAGCGAGCCGCUGGGCCUGGACGACGGCAGGAUCCACUACCAGCAGCUGAGCGCCUCCUCC